This 253-nucleotide ribosomal RNA is filed under the name uncultured bacterium. RNAcentral describes it as "partial 16S ribosomal RNA". It matches the Rfam family "Bacterial small subunit ribosomal RNA", at positions 524 to 776 of the family's 1533-position model. The record is from RNAcentral.
UACGGAGGGAGCUAGCGUUGUUCGGAAUUACUGGGCGUAAAGCGCACGUAGGCGGCUAUUCAAGUCAGAGGUGAAAGCCCAGGGCUUAACCUUGGAACUGCCUUUGAAACUAGAUAGCUAGAAUUCUGGAGAGGUCAGUGGAAUUCCGAGUGUAGAGGUGAAAUUCGUAGAUAUUCGGAAGAACACCAGUGGCGAAGGCGACUGACUGGACAGACAUUGACGCUGAGGUGCGAAAGCGUGGGGAGCAAACAGG